CGCUUUGCGCGACAGCGCAAAGGCAGGCGGUUUCGCGUAGCGAAAGCGAAUGCUUUGGGGUGGGGUGACUGCGUACCUUUUGUAUAAUGGGUCAGCGACUUAUAUUCUGUAGCAAGGUUAACCGAAUAGGGGAGCCGGAGGGAAACCGAGUCUUAAUUGGGCGUUAAGUUGCAGGGUAUAGACCCGAAACCCGGUGAUCUAGCCAUGGGCAGGUUGAAGGUUGGGUAACACUAACUGGAGGACCGAACCGACUAAUGUUGAAAAAUUAGCGGAUGACCUGUGGCUGGGGGUGAAAGGCCAAUCAAACCGGGAGAUAGCUGGUUCUCCCCGAAAGCUAUUUAGGUAGCGCCUCGUGAAUUCAUCUCCGGGGGUAGAGCACUGUUUCGGCUAGGGGGCCAUCCCGGCUUACCAACCCGAUGCAAACUGCGAAUACCGGAGAAUGUUAUCACGGGAGACACACGGCGGGUGCUAACGUCCGUCGUGAAGAGGGAAACAACCCAGACCGCCAGCUAAGGUCCCAAAGUCAUGGUUAAGUGGGAAACGAUGUGGGAAGGCCCAGACAGCCAGGAUGUUGGCUUAGAAGCAGCCAUCAUUUAAAGAAAGCGUAAUAGCUCACUGGUCGAGUCGGCCUGCGCGGAAGAUGUAACGGGGCUAAACCAUGCACCGAAGCUGCGGCAGCGACACUGUGUGUUGUUGGGUAGGGGAGCGUUCUGUAAGCCUGUGAAGGUGUGUCGUGAGGCAUGCUGGAGGUAUCAGAAGUGCGAAUGCUGACAUAAGUAACGAUAAAGCGGGUGAAAAGCCCGCUCGCCGGAAGACCAAGGGUUCCUGUCCAACGUUAAUCGGGGCAGGGUGAGUCGACCCCUAAGGCGAGGCCGAAAGGCGUAGUCGAUGGGAAACGGGUUAAUAUUCCCGUACUUGGUGUUACUGCGAAGGGGGGACGGAGAAGGCUAUGUUGGCCGGGCGACGGUUGUCCCGGUUUAAGCGUGUAGGUGUGUGUUCUAGGUAAAUCCGGUUCACUUUAACACUGAGGCGUGACGACGAGGCACUACGGUGCUGAAGCAACAAAUGCCCUGCUUCCAGGAAAAGCCUCUAAGCAUCAGGUAACAUCAAAUCGUACCCCAAACCGACACAGGUGGUCAGGUAGAGAAUACCAAGGCGCUUGAGAGAACUCGGGUGAAGGAACUAGGCAAAAUGGUGCCGUAACUUCGGGAGAAGGCACGCUGACACGUAGGUGAAGUGAUUUACUCAUGGAGCUGAAGUCAGUCGAAGAUACCAGCUGGCUGCAACUGUUUAUUAAAAACACAGCACUGUGCAAACACGAAAGUGGACGUAUACGGUGUGACGCCUGCCCGGUGCCGGAAGGUUAAUUGAUGGGGUCAGCGCAAGCGAAGCUCCUGAUCGAAGCCCCGGUAAACGGCGGCCGUAACUAUAACGGUCCUAAGGUAGCGAAAUUCCUUGUCGGGUAAGUUCCGACCUGCACGAAUGGCGUAAUGAUGGCCAGGCUGUCUCCACCCGAGACUCAGUGAAAUUGAACUCGCUGUGAAGAUGCAGUGUACCCGCGGCAAGACGGAAAGACCCCGUGAACCUUUACUAUAGCUUGACACUGAACAUUGAGCCUUGAUGUGUAGGAUAGGUGGGAGGCUUUGAAGUGUGGACGCCAGUCUGCAUGGAGCCGACCUUGAAAUACCACCCUUUAAUGUUUGAUGUUCUAACGUGGACCCGUUACCCGGGUUGCGGACAGUGUCUGGUGGGUAGUUUGACUGGGGCGGUCUCCUCC
This 1777-nucleotide ribosomal RNA is filed under the name Salmonella enterica. RNAcentral's name for it is "partial 23S ribosomal RNA". It matches the Rfam family "Bacterial large subunit ribosomal RNA", at positions 1 to 2290 of the family's 2925-position model. RNAcentral also lists the same sequence under 1 other name. The record is from RNAcentral. Lineage: Bacteria; Pseudomonadati; Pseudomonadota; Gammaproteobacteria; Enterobacterales; Enterobacteriaceae.